GAGCGCCAAGGGAGGAAUCCGCUUAAACUCUGUUCUUGAAGUGUAGUUUUGCCGCCCGUCUCCCAACAGCCGGGGCUGAGAUCGCCGUUCAUUAACUUUGGAUAAGGAAUUGCCCCAAAUUAAACAAACAAACAAACAAACAAACGCCACCGGCUUCUUCGCUCGUACCGCGGGCGGAACGGGCUGGAGGGCGCGGGGCGAGAUGUAGUGAAUAAAAGUUAUUUUCGCCUUAGUGCUCCGGGGCAGCCUGAACGGAAAGCGCAUCCUUUUGCGGAGAAAAAGCUCUCGGUGCACAUAUCGAUCCCGACACCCGGCAUCUGCCGGGGCCAGCUCCGGCAAAUCUUCUGGUCCGGGGCAACGCACACGUGUUAACAACAAAAAUACGGUCAAUGGUGCGGGACGAUUUAGAGACUUUGUCUAAAUACCAGAGCAGGGUCGCGCUGGAAAAUGCCGGUUUGAAGUCUGACUGGACAACAGGCAUCCAAACCAAGCCGUUUACGGGGAAAUCACAGCUAGAAAGGACAUUUAAAGGACAAGAAACAGAGAGCUCUGGGAGAUGUUUGCCUUGCAGAAACGCACCGGGGAUCUGGCAAGUGAUGAUGAAACACAAAAUUGAAAUCAGUUUCAAGGAUGCUGAGCUCUGGGCACAGGGUGUGUGUUGUGGGAACAGAACACAAUAG
Molecule: long non-coding RNA, 680 nt
Filed under: Chloebia gouldiae (Gouldian finch)
Lineage: Eukaryota; Metazoa; Chordata; Aves; Passeriformes; Passeridae
Description: Erythrura gouldiae (Gouldian finch) lncRNA (ENSEGOG00005001564.1)
Source: RNAcentral